UACAGAGGUCCCGAGCGUUGUUCGGACUCAUUGGGCGUAAAGGGUGCGUAGGCGGUCUGCUAAGUUUGAUGUGAAAUCCCGGGGCUCAACCCUGGAAUGGCAUUGAAUACUGGUGGACUAGAGUACUGGAGAGGAAACUGGAAUUUACGGUGUAGCAGUGAAAUGCGUAGAGAUCGUAAGGAAGACCAGUGGCGAAGGCGAGUUUCUGGACAGUAACUGACGCUGAGGCACGAAGGCCAGGGGAGCAAACGGG
This 253-nucleotide ribosomal RNA is filed under the name uncultured bacterium. RNAcentral describes it as "partial 16S ribosomal RNA". It matches the Rfam family "Bacterial small subunit ribosomal RNA", at positions 524 to 776 of the family's 1533-position model. The record is from RNAcentral.